AUGAACGCUGGCGGCGUGCUUAACACAUGCCAGUCGAACGAAGCACUUUAUUUGAUUUCCUUCGGGACUGAUUAUUUUGUGACUGAGUGGCGGACGGGUGAGUAACGCGUGGGUAACCUGCCUUGUACAGGGGGAUAACAGUUGGAAACGGCUGCUAAUACCGCAUAAGCGCACAGCAUCGCAUGAUGCAGUGUGAAAAACUCCGGUGGUAUAAGAUGGACCCGCGUUGGAUUAGCUAGUUGGUGAGGUAACGGCCCACCAAGGCGACGAUCCAUAGCCGACCUGAGAGGGGGACCGGCCACAUUGGGACUGAGACACGGCCCAAACUCCUACGGGAGGCAGCAGUGGGGAAUAUUGCACAAUGGGCGAAAGCCUGAUGCAGCGACGCCGCGUGAGCGAAGAAGUAUUUCGGUAUGUAAAGCUCUAUCAGCAGGGAAGAUAAUGACGGUACCUGACGAAGAAGCACCGGCUAAAUACGUG
This 480-nucleotide ribosomal RNA is filed under the name uncultured bacterium. RNAcentral's name for it is "partial 16S ribosomal RNA". It matches the Rfam family "Bacterial small subunit ribosomal RNA", at positions 29 to 507 of the family's 1533-position model. The record is from RNAcentral.